AACCAUAGAAACCUGCGGAGUACCUGCGGAGGGAUCAUUACAGAGUUGCAAAACUCCCACAAACCAUCGCGAAUCUUACCCGUACGGUUGCCUCGGCGCUGGCGGUCCGGAAGGCCCUCGGGCCCCCGGACCCUCGGGUCCCCCGCUCGCGGGGGGCUGCCCGUCGGAGUGCCGAAACCAAACUCUUGAUAUUUUAUGUCUCUCUGAGUAAACUUUUAAAUAAGUCAAAACUUUCAACAA
Molecule: unclassified non-coding RNA, 240 nt
Filed under: soil metagenome
Description: partial contains 5.8S ribosomal RNA, internal transcribed spacer 2, and large subunit ribosomal RNA
Source: RNAcentral